RNAcentral lists this ribosomal RNA (1531 nucleotides) under Escherichia coli DEC7B. RNAcentral describes it as "bacterial SSU rRNA". It matches the Rfam family "Bacterial small subunit ribosomal RNA". Lineage: Bacteria; Pseudomonadati; Pseudomonadota; Gammaproteobacteria; Enterobacterales; Enterobacteriaceae. The record is from RNAcentral.
AGAGUUUGAUCAUGGCUCAGAUUGAACGCUGGCGGCAGGCCUAACACAUGCAAGUCGAACGGUAACAGGAAUCAGCUUGCUGAUUCGCUGACGAGUGGCGGACGGGUGAGUAAUGUCUGGGAAACUGCCUGAUGGAGGGGGAUAACUACUGGAAACGGUAGCUAAUACCGCAUAACGUCGCAAGACCAAAGAGGGGGACCUUCGGGCCUCUUGCCAUCAGAUGUGCCCAGAUGGGAUUAGCUAGUAGGUGGGGUAACGGCUCACCUAGGCGACGAUCCCUAGCUGGUCUGAGAGGAUGACCAGCCACACUGGAACUGAGACACGGUCCAGACUCCUACGGGAGGCAGCAGUGGGGAAUAUUGCACAAUGGGCGCAAGCCUGAUGCAGCCAUGCCGCGUGUAUGAAGAAGGCCUUCGGGUUGUAAAGUACUUUCAGCGGGGAGGAAGGGAGUAAAGUUAAUACCUUUGCUCAUUGACGUUACCCGCAGAAGAAGCACCGGCUAACUCCGUGCCAGCAGCCGCGGUAAUACGGAGGGUGCAAGCGUUAAUCGGAAUUACUGGGCGUAAAGCGCACGCAGGCGGUUUGUUAAGUCAGAUGUGAAAUCCCCGGGCUCAACCUGGGAACUGCAUCUGAUACUGGCAAGCUUGAGUCUCGUAGAGGGGGGUAGAAUUCCAGGUGUAGCGGUGAAAUGCGUAGAGAUCUGGAGGAAUACCGGUGGCGAAGGCGGCCCCCUGGACGAAGACUGACGCUCAGGUGCGAAAGCGUGGGGGAGCAAACAGGAUUAGAUACCCUGGUAGUCCACGCCGUAAACGAUGUCGACUUGGAGGUUGUGCCCUUGAGGCGUGGCUUCCGGAGCUAACGCGUUAAGUCGACCGCCUGGGGAGUACGGCCGCAAGGUUAAAACUCAAAUGAAUUGACGGGGGCCCGCACAAGCGGUGGAGCAUGUGGUUUAAUUCGAUGCAACGCGAAGAACCUUACCUGGUCUUGACAUCCACGGAAGUUUUCAGAGAUGAGAAUGUGCCUUCGGGAACCGUGAGACAGGUGCUGCAUGGCUGUCGUCAGCUCGUGUUGUGAAAUGUUGGGUUAAGUCCCGCAACGAGCGCAACCCUUAUCCUUUGUUGCCAGCGGUCCGGCCGGGAACUCAAAGGAGACUGCCAGUGAUAAACUGGAGGAAGGUGGGGAUGACGUCAAGUCAUCAUGGCCCUUACGACCAGGGCUACACACGUGCUACAAUGGCGCAUACAAAGAGAAGCGACCUCGCGAGAGCAAGCGGACCUCAUAAAGUGCGUCGUAGUCCGGAUUGGAGUCUGCAACUCGACUCCAUGAAGUCGGAAUCGCUAGUAAUCGUGGAUCAGAAUGCCACGGUGAAUACGUUCCCGGGCCUUGUACACACCGCCCGUCACACCAUGGGAGUGGGUUGCAAAAGAAGUAGGUAGCUUAACCUUCGGGAGGGCGCUUACCACUUUGUGAUUCAUGACUGGGGUGAAGUCGUAACAAGGUAACCGUAGGGGAACCUGCGGUUGGAUCACCU